ACGCUAUCACUCCUACGGGAGGCAGCAGUGAGGAAUAUUGGACAAUGGAGGCAACUCUGAUCCAGCCAUGCCGCGUGCAGGAAGACUGCCCUAUGGGUUGUAAACUGCUUUUAUACAGGAAGAAACCACUCUACGUGUAGAGUUCUGACGGUACUGUAAGAAUAAGGAUCGGCUAACUCCGUGCCAGCAGCCGCGGUAAUACGGAGGAUCCAAGCGUUAUCCGGAAUCAUUGGGUUUAAAGGGUCCGUAGGUGGAUGAUUAAGUCAGAGGUGAAAUCCUGCAGCUCAACUGUAGAAUUGCCUUUGAUACUGGUUGUCUUGAAUUAUUGUGAAGUAGUUAGAAUAUGUGGUGUAGCGGUGAAAUGCAUAGAUAUCACAUAGAAUACCAAUUGCGAAGGCAGAUUACUAACAAUACAUUGACACUGAUGGACAGAAAGCGUGGGGAGCGAACAGGAUUAGAUACCCUGGUAG
Molecule: ribosomal RNA, 470 nt
Filed under: uncultured bacterium
Lineage: Bacteria
Description: bacterial SSU rRNA
Rfam family: Bacterial small subunit ribosomal RNA
Source: RNAcentral